Molecule: ribosomal RNA, 252 nt
Filed under: uncultured bacterium
Lineage: Bacteria
Description: partial 16S ribosomal RNA
Rfam family: Bacterial small subunit ribosomal RNA
Source: RNAcentral
CACGUAGGGCGCAAGCGUUGUCCGGAAUUAUUGGGCGUAAAGCGCGCGCAGGCGGCUAUUUAAGUCUGGUGUUUAAUCCUGGGGCUCAACCCCGGGUCGCACUGGAAACUGGGUGGCUUGAGUGCAGAAGAGGAGAGUGGAAUUCCACGUGUAGCGGUGAAAUGCGUAGAGAUGUGGAGGAACACCAGUGGCGAAGGCGACUCUCUGGGCUGUAACUGACGCUGAGGAGCGAAAGCCAGGGGAGCAAACGGG